UGAGCAACCUGCCCUUAGCUCUGGGAUAACCCCGGGAAACCGGGGCUAAUACCGGAUAUGAGUCCGAGCGGCAUCACGCGGACUGGAAAGUUUUUCGGCUAAGGAUGGGCUCGCGGCCUAUCAGCUUGUUGGUGGGUAAUGGCCUACCAAGGCUUCGACGGGUAGCCGGCCUGAGAGGGCGACCGGCCACACUGGGACUGAGAUACGGCCCAGACUCCUACGGGAGCA
Molecule: ribosomal RNA, 228 nt
Filed under: uncultured bacterium
Lineage: Bacteria
Description: partial 16S ribosomal RNA
Rfam family: Bacterial small subunit ribosomal RNA
Source: RNAcentral